ACGGGAGGCAGCAGUGAGGAAUAUUGGUCAAUGGACGGAAGUCUGAACCAGCCAAGUAGCGUGAGGGAUGACUGCCCUAUGGGUUGUAAACCUCUUUUGUCGGGGAAUAAAGUGUGCCAUGUAUGGUAUUUUGCAUGUACCCGUCGAAUAAGGAUCGGCUAACUCCGUGCCAGCAGCCGCGGUAAUACGGAGGAUCCGAGCGUUAUCCGGAUUUAUUGGGUUUAAAGGGUGCGCAGGCGGCUUUUUAAGUCAGUGGUUAAAUCGUGACGCUCAACGUCAUCACGCCAUUGAUACUGGAGAGCUUGAUUGCGGUCGAGGUUUGCGGAAUUCGUUGUGUAGCGGUGAAAUGCAUAGAUAUGACGAAGAACACCGAUUGCGUAGGCAGCAGACCAGGCCGUAAAUGACGCUCAUGCACGAAAGUGCGGGGAUCGAACAGGAUUAGAUACCCUGGUA
RNAcentral lists this ribosomal RNA (453 nucleotides) under uncultured Sphingobacterium sp. Its description in RNAcentral is "partial 16S ribosomal RNA". It matches the Rfam family "Bacterial small subunit ribosomal RNA", at positions 341 to 792 of the family's 1533-position model. The record is from RNAcentral. Lineage: Bacteria; Pseudomonadati; Bacteroidota; Sphingobacteriia; Sphingobacteriales; Sphingobacteriaceae.